UUGUUGAGUGAGAACACACAUUAUUUCAAUUUUUCUCAAAGGUUCAUUAAUUUUCCAUUUACUAAUAUUGCACUAUAAAAUAUACUCCUAGUUUUGUUUACUCAUCUAAAAUUCAAAUGGGAGCUAUAAUUCCAAGAUGUUUAAUAGUCAUAACCCUUGUUUUUAUUGGUUUAAUUUUAUCUCCUGGAAUCCAAGAAGGUGUUGCUGCUCGUUCUAAUGUGUAUAGAGAAGUACUUGUGAGGAGAUCAAUAUGUCCUGCUUGUGUGUGUUGUCAACCUUCAACACCAGGAUCUUGUUGCAGCUGUUGUGCUUCUCCUAUCAAUUCACAGUCCAACAACGUUUCGCCUUAAUCGACAUAUGUAAUUCGAAAUUUAAAAUUCGAUUUUUGAGUAAUUGUAAUUUUUUAUUUUUACUUGUCAAAUUUGCAAUGACAUGGUCCUUUCGCAUGCCUUACGAAAAGCAUUUCAAAAGUCGUAUUUGUCUAUUUUGUGUCUUCUUGAUCAUAAUCAAUAAGCUAAAUUGCUUUUAUCAAAUUCCAUGUCAUCUUGGGAAGUAACCUAUCCAUAAAAUAUAUUUGUAUACUAUGUUAUGCUGAAUCAAUAGAAAUAUGAAAUGUGUUUGUAUAUAAA
Solanum lycopersicum (tomato) is the source of this 629-nucleotide non-coding RNA. Lineage: Eukaryota; Viridiplantae; Streptophyta; Magnoliopsida; Solanales; Solanaceae. The record is from RefSeq and is a predicted model, not a curated record.